This 3976-nucleotide long non-coding RNA is filed under the name Triticum aestivum (bread wheat). RNAcentral describes it as "long non-coding RNA (TAES_LNC024953)". Lineage: Eukaryota; Viridiplantae; Streptophyta; Magnoliopsida; Poales; Poaceae. The record is from RNAcentral.
AACGACAAAAAUCACAGGCACAUAACAAAGGUUCAUAAUUCAUGUCAACUAGAAUUUUAAAAAUAUUACUACAACUUAUCCAUCACUUCAUCAAGCUUAAGAUAUCAGUCUGCAUUUCACGACGAUCGAGCAUUGGCCUAAGCUGUUUUCAUGUGCAGAAAUAAAAGCAAUCAUUACAAGAGGUAUUAAUACAUCGUCAAGUUUGUGCACAAUAAAAAGUUCUGGGUUAUAAGUUGCCAUGUCCAACGCAGGGAUACUUUCGAACAAGAUGGGCCGCAAAGCAACAAUCACGUCCUACUCCGGUCUUUUCUCCACUCCUUCCUCGACAUCAUGUACCACAACUUGAUGCUGGCUGAAUGACAAAAAGAAACAAGUUAGCUAGCAUCAGUUCAGAAUCGCACAACACUAUUUUGUAGUAUAAGCAAACUAAUGAGACAGUAUCAACCAACAUAUGAUUUGUGCACUGUGCAUAAAAAAAUCAAGACUACAAAUAUAGUUUAGGAACGCAAUCACAAGGCUGUCCAGUAACCUAAUUUGGUUACUUGAAAAAGUCUCCAGAUGAACAGGGCAAUAUAUUGCUGUGAGGUGAGUUAUGAGGCAAUAGGAGGUGAAACCAAUUGGAGGAGGCCACCAAAUUAAGUAUCACUAACAAGCUUGUAAAGGUAAACAUAAACUACCAAACAAAAGGCAGUAAAAUUUCUCCAAAUGUGUGGCUCUUCUAGUCAGUUUUAAAAGAAUGAAGUGUGUUUUGUCUUUGCUUAUCUAUCAUCAAUUAACAAAGAGAAACAAGCUUAUACAAAGCUCCAGUCAAUAAUGCCACAAAGUAAAUAAAUAUAAAUGGAUGUAGUGCAAAACAAGAAGGUGAGCUGGUUACACACCUUAUGCUAUCUACAUCUCAGAAAUCACCUCCUUCAACCAAUAAAGCCGAAGAUUUGAGUCCUUGGUAUUGAUGAAUAUUUCUCGAUUCAUUGGGCAUUUGAAAAGCCGCAAUGCCUUUGCUUUUUCUGCAACUGAUAAAUCUUCCAUUGGUUCUAGCGCAGCCACACAGUUUCCAAUUGAGAACAUGUCAUCUGGCUUUCAUUCCUUCAACUCGUCAACCAGUUUUGCAGGUUGUUUCUUCCGAAAAUCCAUGUAAUCCUCAAGAACAACAGCGAUCUGGCUUUGCUUCCUCUUUUCACAGGCACUCCCUUUUGUUCAGAGUUGGUAGAUGUUGUAGCUUCAGGUUCAUCUCUUCUUGAUGCCCCUUGCCCUUGUAGAUCAGAUGAGGACAUACCAUCAUCAACAUUGGUAGAUGAGAUAUGGUUCAAAUCAUUGGUAGAGGAAUCCAUAGGAGAAAUGGCAUCGCUUGUGAGAUCCACUUGCGGAAUUGAUACAAAGUUCAAGUCUCCUGAAGCAACACAUCCUGCUCCAAAAAAGAAACAUAUCAGCAUGUUCUCUUAGAAACAUCAGAUUCAUCUAUAAUUGCAAAUACACAUAUUUACUGCCACCCAUUCCAGAAAGAAAGUAUAUAUACAGAUAACUUGGUCCUUCAUCAUACAACUUUUUAGAAAGAAAAAGAGCACUCAAGCAGGGUCCGAUGGAAACACAUGAAAAAAUACAGGUAUCUCAACAAUCUCCCAAAUACUAUAUAAUUAAAGCAAGAAUGAAAAGGAUUUAAUAUACAGGGUCGACGGAAACACGUUAUACAGGAAACACACCUUCAUGUAGUAAAGCCAAUGACUUGAAGAGCAUGAAUGGUUUUGAACGGAACUUCUUUAUCCUUGCAUUAUCCUAUUGAAUGCAACAAUAUUGUAUGGUUGGGAUCAAUAAAACAAUGCCUUGAAGAGCAUGAAUGCCAGUGAACAAAAAAUAUAUCAAGAAAAGAGUUAACCUUGAUAAGUUUAUCCCAUAUUACAGGUUCGGCGAUGAUCAUGCAUCCCAUCCCGUGCCACUCUGUUUCUGAGAGUCUCUCACUGCCUUAUAAUUUUCUUUUAAAUCCUUAUCCUUCUCUUGGAUUUGUUGCUUGCUGAAAUUAGCUAGUGGAAAUUUCCGAUUGAAUGUAUUUGCAAUUCUAGUCCACCCUUCAGCAGUCCACCCAUUUUGACCUCGAUAGAUGGGAUUGUUGUGGUCAAGCAUUAUAUCAACAAGACCUUUCUCAUAUGCAUGGUCCCAAGAUGCCCUAGGCGCUGCCAUUGCUACAUUAUUGAACCAACAAUGGGGUACUAGUUAAAUUUCUCUCUACCACUACUUUACCUAAGAAAAGGUGAGAAAAAAAUUACAAAGUAAACUCAUGUCCGACUAGUUGUUAUAAUCAGCCCACAUUUGCAUCGCGAUCUGAUCUCUAAGAGUGUUCCCAUUGUUUGCCUCAUUGUGAUGAUGUUGGUUGACAUCAUAUCCCUCUGGAACAUCAACAUAUGUUUCUGGUGGAAUUAACGGUGGUUGGUGAUCCAACCAUGCCUCAUCACCACUUUGAGCUCUAAUGAUGUUAUGGAAUACAGCACAUGCUGCAGGAAUCUUGAUUUGUGACUCUAUUGGGUAGCCAUUGCCCACUUUCAAGAUAGGGAAACAUUUUUUUAGAACACCAAUGCUCCUUUCGAUGUGGUUCCGAAGAAUUGCAUGGGUAUGGUUGAAAAGCUCCCUAUGGUCGGCAUAGCCCGUAUGAGAUGAGCGUCGCCUCCUAAAUUACCGAACUCCUCGAUAUGGUGCAAGAAAAGAAGGCGUGUUGGCAUAUCCACCAUCUACGAGAUAAAAUUUUCCAUCUGGCACAUGAAACCCCUUGCUAAUAGCAGAACGAAGAACUCCUGCAUCUGAUGCAGAUCCUUCCCACCCACAUGAAAUAAAUGUGAAAUUCAGAUGAAAAUCACAUGCAACCAUGACAUUCUGUGAGAGGGCUCCUUUCCUAUUCCUAAAUGGGGGGGCCUUAUCUUCAGCAAUAGUGAUGGGGAUAUGUGUUCCAUCUAUAGCACCAAUGCAGUUCUGCACAUUGAAACAGAAACAACAAAGUUGGUAGGUUUAGAAAUCUAUGUGGAGAAGUUUACAAAAAUUCCAUUGAUAUGGAGAUGUGUGUGUAGUGGUUCACCUGGAAAUAAGGCCAAUAGCGAUUGUUCGAAACAAUCUUCGGAUGGGGCUGGAGUGAACUUGGAAUCUUUAUAAAUCUUUGGGCUAGAGUUGUAAUUAAGUCAAAAAUCAUGUUUAUCUUCCUAUGAAUUGUUUAUGCGCUGUGUUGGAAGUACUUUUGUAGAUCUUGAUUACUAGCAUUGUGCAAAAUCAUGUACAUGAACAUCGCCAAUUGCUCCUCGGCAGAAACACGUGACGUGCCCUUCAAUAGAUUCUCUCUUCUAAGGUAAUCCACAAUAGACUUAAAAAUCUCAGGUUCCAUCCGAAACUCAACCCUAGACCAACUCUCAUGGCCUUCUAAUAUUUCCUUAACCUUUGCAGCCCCGGAUAAAGAUGAUGUGUGAACUGGAUGCUUUUCCUCAUAAAGGGAAGCAUAUAAAGCGGGAACCAAAAGGAAAAAUAGUUCAUCGUCUUCUUCUUGUUCUUGCGAGAUAAUCUUAAUAAUUUUAUUUCUCCUAGAAUCCAUCACUAUUAUACCCAAUGAAAAUAAAAUUAAUACAACUAUAAUAAUUAUAAAUAAAGCAAUAAUAAUACCAUCUCUAUUAUGGCUGCAAAGAACCAAUAGCUAGGAGCCUAGGAAGCUCAGGAGUGAAUACAACGAUAAUACCAUUUCUGUUGUUACAUCUACGUACAUAAUUUGGAGCAUCAGUUUUCUCAUAUACUAAAAUAAGACCACUUUCAAUACUAGGCAGAGAAAAUAACAUCACAAGAGCAGUAGUUUUGCAUAAUUUAAGCUUCCUUAGUGACCAUGUCAAAGGGAUGACUGUGUCACAUACCUUUCUUACUCUGAGUGAAAACUUCUCAAUGACCCACGUAUCAAAAGGCACCAAGCAAUUGAACACAAAGUCUUCGGAUAAAGCCAACUUCUAAUGUCAGAGCA